UUCUUUUAAAAUCUUCUUUAAAUUCAUUGUUGUCUAAAUAUCCACUUGUAAUUUAUAAGCAUUAGCCUUUAUUUUUUCUUUCAUGAUUUUUCUUUCUUUUGUAGGAUCCUUCAUUAUUUUUAUCUCUCUUUUGUUUUUCUUCUAUUAAUGCUUCAUAUUGACUCCUUGCAACAUAUGCAUAUAUAAAUAGACUAUCAAUUGGACUAUUCUAAUCUAUAGUUUUUCAAAUAGACUUACCUAUAUUAACUAAUAUAUCUUUAGAAACCUUCCAAUUUGCUGCACACUUCAUUGCAUUUGGCCACAAUGAACUUAUAUGAUCUAAUCCUUCAAUGUUUAUGCUCGUAGAAUCUAAUUUUAUGUCUUUGCUUCUAUUGCAUGAACCAUUAAUACUUUCAUAGCUCUAUUGCUAAAUUUUGUCUUUAAUUUUUUUCCACUUUUUUUUAUGUGUAUCAUAUUAUCUUUGAAAAAAAAAACCCUUUAUAUAGCAUCUUUGUAAAAUCCUUACAUUCUCUUCUUGAAUGAUCCAUGCUAUUACACUACAUGUAUUUAUGUACUAUACCUUCUAUUAAUCUUAAUCUUUGUUUUUUUAACACUCUUGAUGAUUGAUCCUUCUCUUUAAAUUUUACAAAUUUUAUUUAUAAAUCUCUCAUCUUUCAUUUAUUUUUAUCAAUGUUUA
RNAcentral lists this long non-coding RNA (676 nucleotides) under Physcomitrium patens. RNAcentral describes it as "long non-coding RNA (PPAT_LNC010163)". Lineage: Eukaryota; Viridiplantae; Streptophyta; Bryopsida; Funariales; Funariaceae. The record is from RNAcentral.